GUAGGUGAACCUGCGGAAGGAUCAUUAACACGAAUUUAUUAUCCAAUAUCAAAACCAAACGUGAACUUUUCCCCUCCCUAUAUUAUGAUAUUCUUUAUCAUAGUAUAGGCUAAACCAUAUUUUAAUUUUAAACCCCUUUAACUUAACUUGUUUCAACACUGUUUGAAACAGCUAACACUAAAGAAAAUUAAGUUAUUCGAAAGAGUAUACUUUAAAUUUUUUUUCGAUUUACGAAAUAAAAUGAUUAAAA
RNAcentral lists this unclassified non-coding RNA (250 nucleotides) under plant metagenome. RNAcentral's name for it is "partial contains small subunit ribosomal RNA, internal transcribed spacer 1, and 5.8S ribosomal RNA". The record is from RNAcentral.